RNAcentral lists this ribosomal RNA (258 nucleotides) under uncultured bacterium. RNAcentral describes it as "partial 16S ribosomal RNA". It matches the Rfam family "Bacterial small subunit ribosomal RNA", at positions 1244 to 1500 of the family's 1533-position model. The record is from RNAcentral.
AAGAAGCAAGACCGUGAGGCGGAGCAAAACUCAAAAACUUGUCUCAGUUCGGAUUGUAGGCUGAAACUCGCCUACAUGAAGCUGGAGUUGCUAGUAAUCGCGAAUCAGCAUGUCGCGGUGAAUACGUUCCCGGGCCUUGUACACACCGCCCGUCACACCAUGAGAGUUGGCAAUACCCAACGUACGUGAUCUAACCCGCAAGGGAGGAAGCGUCCUAAGGUAGGGUCAGCGAUUGGGGUGAAGUCGUAACAAGGUAUC